Molecule: ribosomal RNA, 578 nt
Filed under: Oulimnius tuberculatus
Lineage: Eukaryota; Metazoa; Arthropoda; Insecta; Coleoptera; Elmidae
Description: partial large subunit ribosomal RNA
Rfam family: Bacterial large subunit ribosomal RNA
Source: RNAcentral
AUAAUAUAAGAUUUGACCUGCCCGCUGAGUUAUUGAAUGGCCGCGGUAUUUUGACCGUGCAAAGGUAGCAUAAUAAUUAGUUUUUUGAUUGAAAGCUGGAAUGAAUGGUUGGACGAAAAAGUCACUGUCUCUGAUUAAUUUUAUAUAAAAUUUUAUUUUUAAGUUAAAAAGCUUAAAUUUGAAUAGAAGACGAGAAGACCCUAUAGAGUUUUAUAUUUUAUAUUAGGUUUAAUUUUAGGAAUUUUAAUUUUACCUUUUUUAUAAUAUUUUAUUGGGGUGAUAAAAAGAUAAAGAUAACUCUUUUUUUAUUUUUACAUUUAUAUAUGAUAAUUUGGUCCAUUAUUUAUGAUUACAAGAAAAAAUUACCUUAGGGAUAACAGCGUAAUCUUUUUAGAGAGUUCUUAUCGAAACAAGGGAUUGCGACCUCGAUGUUGGAUUAAAGUUAAUUUUUGGUGUAGAAGCUGAGAUAUUGAGUCUGUUCGACUUUUAAAACUUUACAUGAUCUGAGUUUAAACCGGUGUGAGCCAGGUUGGUUUCUAUCUUUAUUAAGAUAAAAUAUUUUAGUACGAAAGGACCAA